RNAcentral lists this ribosomal RNA (429 nucleotides) under Actinomycetes bacterium. RNAcentral's name for it is "Actinobacteria bacterium partial 16S ribosomal RNA". It matches the Rfam family "Bacterial small subunit ribosomal RNA", at positions 355 to 776 of the family's 1533-position model. The record is from RNAcentral. Lineage: Bacteria; Bacillati; Actinomycetota; Actinomycetes.
UAGGGAAUCUUCCGCAAUGGGCGAAAGCUUGACGGAGCAACGCCGCGUGAGUGAUGAAGGUCUUCGGAUCGUAAAACUCUGUUAUUAGGGAAGAACAAAUGUGUAAGUAACUAUGCACGUCUUGACGGUACCUAAUCAGAAAGCCACGGCUAACUACGUGCCAGCAGCCGCGGUAAUACGUAGGUGGCAAGCGUUAUCCGGAAUUAUUGGGCGUAAAGCGCGCGUAGGCGGUUUUUUAAGUCUGAUGUGAAAGCCCACGGCUCAACCGUGGAGGGUCAUUGGAAACUGGAAAACUUGAGUGCAGAAGAGGAAAGUGGAAUUCCAUGUGUAGCGGUGAAAUGCGCAGAGAUAUGGAGGAACACCAGUGGCGAAGGCGACUUUCUGGUCGGUAACUGACGCUGAUGUGCGAAAGCGUGGGGAUCAAACAGG